This 92-nucleotide ribosomal RNA is filed under the name Escherichia coli. The record is from RNAcentral. Lineage: Bacteria; Pseudomonadati; Pseudomonadota; Gammaproteobacteria; Enterobacterales; Enterobacteriaceae.
CCACCUGACCCCAUGCCGAACUCAGAAGUGAAACGCCGUAGCGCCGAUGGUAGUGUGGGGUCUCCCCAUGCGAGAGUAGAGAACUGCCAGAC